This 780-nucleotide ribosomal RNA is filed under the name uncultured Neocallimastigales. RNAcentral's name for it is "partial large subunit ribosomal RNA". It matches the Rfam family "Eukaryotic large subunit ribosomal RNA", at positions 23 to 634 of the family's 3401-position model. The record is from RNAcentral. Lineage: Eukaryota; Fungi; Neocallimastigomycota; Neocallimastigomycetes; Neocallimastigales.
AGAGAUGUGUGAUGACGCAUAUCAAUAAGCGGAGGAAAAGAAACUAACAAGGAUUCCCUUAGUAACGGCGAGUGAAGCGGGAAGAGCUCAAAUUUGAAAUCUUCAAGGGUUCUACCUUGACGAAUUGUAGUUUAUAAGAAGUGUUUUCUGUUAGUAGAGGUGGCUAAAAGUUCUUUGGAAUAGGACAUCAUAGAGGGUGAGAAUCCCGUAUUUGGUCAUUCUUUCUAGCUGUGUGAUACACUUUCAACGAGUCGGAUUGUUUGGGAAUGCAGUCCAAAAUGGGUGGUAAAUUUCAUCUAAAGCUAAAUAUUGGCGAGAGACCGAUAGCGAACAAGUACCGUGAGGGAAAGAUGAAAGGAACUUUGAAAAGAGAGUUAAACAGUACGUGAAAUUGUCAAAAGGGAAGCGUUUGACACCAGUGUUGUUUUUCCGAAAAUCAAUUACGAAUGUUUUAGUUUUUGAGGAGUUAUGACUUCAUCGGCUUGCUUCUCUCUUUAUGAAACUUUCUUAAUGCACUUUUCGGUUAACAAGUCAACAUCAAUUUCUUUUGUUGUAAAAGGGUAUGAGGAAGGUGGCUUUACUUUCGGAGUAAAGUGUUUAUAGCCUUGUACCUCUGCAAUCGGAGAGAUUGAGGUCUGCAGCGUAGAUCCUUCGGGGUUAGAUACAUUUGUGCUGAGUUAUAGCUUUUCAUAGACAACUUGUUGACUAUGUUUAGUCUUGUGACUUACUCGCUUAUGCUAUUUUACCUACGCUUAGGAUGUUGAGUCGUAGAGCACGCAG